AAAAAAAGAGGAUGGAAUUUCAUUUCACAGAUUGCCGACAGAUGUUGUUUUACGCGAGGAAUGGGUUUCUAUUAUUCGCCAAAGCAGGCAAGACAAUAAUUGGCAGGCAUCAAAAUUUUGCGUUGUGUGUACAUUACAUUUUAAAGAGGAUGGCUUAUGCUUUACCGAAAAAUUUCGUAGGUUGAUAAAAAAAAUUCCAAUGUAAUUAUUUGUAAUACUAUCUAAUCUUUUGGUCUAGUCUUUAAGUUGUCUGUAUAUCGAUGUAUGUGUGUGUGUGAAUAAAUGAUGAUGAUUAUUA
This 298-nucleotide unclassified non-coding RNA is filed under the name Melitaea cinxia (Glanville fritillary). RNAcentral describes it as "misc RNA ENSMCXG00005019990.1". The record is from RNAcentral. Lineage: Eukaryota; Metazoa; Arthropoda; Insecta; Lepidoptera; Nymphalidae.